This 5145-nucleotide long non-coding RNA is filed under the name Gossypium barbadense (sea-island cotton). Its description in RNAcentral is "long non-coding RNA (GBAR_LNC008684)". Lineage: Eukaryota; Viridiplantae; Streptophyta; Magnoliopsida; Malvales; Malvaceae. The record is from RNAcentral.
UUUAAAGGAAACUUUUAGUAUUUCUGAUUCAUUGAGUACAUGGAGGAUGAAUUACAAGGUUGAGACAGAAAGGAAGGAUUAAGAAGGGAAUAGAAAACUCAGUACAGCUGAGGGAAGAAGAGAGGUAGCAGCUAUUGCUAAAAAGUGAUAUCAUGCCUCACCUGGUAAUACCUACCCUUAUUUAUACAACAAUACCCAAUGUCAUUCAUCCGAAUGGUACCUAAAUUGUGGCUAGCCCACCAAGUAUCCACGAAGGACCACAGGUGUCCUUUUCUCCCGUUGGGGUCUGUUACUUCCUAACGGUUUGCCAGGUGGAUCUUUAUUGCUGCUUGUGCUUGGCAUUGGGGCAGGGUUAAGGUCCAUUACAUUACUCCCUUCUGCAAGAUGAACCUUGUCCGCAAAGUUCGAAGGAUUUGGGUCGAUGAGGGGUAGAGGAAUACUUUGGCUCUCGGGGUUGCCGAAGCAUUUCUUCAGAACUGAAACAUGAAAGACUGGGUGUAUGCGAGAAGAUGGCGGUAAAUCAAGCUUAUAAGCCACGGUGCCAAUGCGUUUUAGGACUUUAAAAGGACCAAAGUAUCGUUGGCUGAGUUUCUGAUUUCUGUGCAGGCGAAGGGAAAGCUGUCGAUAGGGCUGAAGUUUAACGAAAAGCCAAUCGCCAACAGCAUAAGAGAUGUCUCGAUGAUGUUUAUCAGCUUGGUUUUUUUGACGAUUCUGGGCUGUAAGUAGAUUGUGUUUAAGCUGUCGGAGUAUAAUGUCACGAUUGGACAGGUCAUGGUCUAGGGCUGAAAGUUUAGCCGUGCCUGGAAUAUAUCAAAUAAUUGUUGGUGGGUCGCGGCCAUAUAAAGCUUUAAAUGGGGACAUUCCGGCUGAGGUAUGAUGCGAAGUGUUGUACCAAUAUUCGGCCCAUGGCAGAAAUUUAACCCAAGAGUUAGGAAUGUCAGCAACAAAGCACCUGAGAUACAUUUCCAAAACUUUGUUGACAGCCUCAGUUUGUCCAUCUGUCUCUGGAUGAUAAGCAGAGCUCAAUGCUCGUGUAGUGCCCUGUAAUUUAGUGAGUUCAUCCCAAAAGACACUCAAGAAUAAAGGAUCCCGAUCACUAAUUAUUUUUGUGGGAAUUCCAUGUAAUUUAACCACCCCAUUCAAAAACACCUCAGCUAAUUUUGUACUAGUAAAGGUACUGGGCAAAGGCAAAAAGUGAGCAUAUUUGGAUAAUCGAUCCACAACGACAAAUAUGAUCGUUUUACCAAAAUAUGGGGGAAGACCGGUGAUGAAAUCCAUAGUGAGUUCUUCGAAAACUUGUGUUGGCAAAGGUCAGGAUUGAAGUAAACCGGCGGGGGCCAAUUGAGAGGCUUUCAUUGUUUGACAAACAACACAUUCGCGAACAAAUUGUUGUACAUCUUUGCGCAUGGAGGGCCAGUAAAAAUUUGCUGCUAGUCUAUAGAGGGUGCGUGAUAUUCCAGCAUGUCCACCGACGACUGAGCAGUGGAAUUCUUCGAGUAGAGCUUUACGCAAGGUGGCGUCCGUGGGCACUACCAAUCUGUUUUUAAAGAGUAAUAAUCCGUCAUGCACCGAAUAGUCUUGAAAUUCAGAGUUACAAGCAGCCAGCUGAGCGUGGAUGUGUAAUAGAUCGGGGUGAGAGCUAUUUAAUUUCUGAAAUUCUGCAAGUCGAGUAAAUUCUUGAACUGACAAGGUAAGAAGACAGCCUGUCGGGUAGCGAGAUAAGGUGUCAGCCACUGUAUUUAACUUCCCUGGUCUGUAUAAUACUUCGAAGUCGAACCCAAUCAAUUUAUAGAGCCAAUGUUGCUGUUCUGGUGUUUGUAUUGUUUGUGCGGUGAGAUUUUUCAAGGAUUUUUGGUCCGUGAUGAUGGAAAAUCGUCUCCCCAACAAGUAUUGUCUCCAUUUGCCCACUGCUUGGGUAAUAGCAAACAUCUCGCGAUGGUAUGCUGGUGCGCCUUGCAUUCGGGUGGAUAACUUUUGGCUAUAGUAGGCAAUGGGUUUUCCUCGUUGAACCAAUACGGCACCGAUUCCCGUUCCGGAUGCAUCGGUUUCGAUUGUAAAUGGGGCUGAAAAGUCUGGAAGGGCCAAGAGAGGUGCACUGCUUAAGGCUUCUUUCAACUGGAUGAAUGCCGAUUGUGCCGCGGGUGUCCAAUUAAAAUUGUCGAUUUUGAGAAGGUCAGAAAGUGGUGCUGCGCUCUUUGAAAAGCCUUUAAUAAAACGUCUGUAGUAUCCCGCCAGGCCUAAGAAUCCACGGACACCCUUAACAGUAACUGGAAUUGGCCAAUCACGAAUUGCUGUAAUUUUUGAAGGAUCAACUUGAAGUCCGUUGCCAUUGACGAUAUGUCCUAAGUACUCGAUUUGAGACUGCCCGAAAAUACACUUGCUUUCUUUUGCGACCAAGUGGUGAGCUCGCAAGGUUUCAAAUACGAUGCGCAAAUGGUUCAAGUGAUCGUCCUGUGUUUUACUGUAAACCAAGAUGUUAUCAAAAAAAAUGAGGACAAAUUGACGGAGAAAAAGUUUAAAGAUACCGUUCAUCGUGGCUUGGAAGGUAGAGGGGGCGUUUGUAAGGCCGAACGGCAUGACGAGGAAUUCGUAGUGGCCCUCAUGAGUGCGAAAAGCUGUCUUUGGAAUGUCCUCUGGUUGAAUCAAAAUUUGAUGGAACCCGGCAAGCAAGUCUAACUUUGAAAAGAUUGUAGCCCCGAAUAGUUCGUCGAAGAGCUCAUCCGCCGUCGGAAUUGGAAAUCGAUCACGGAUUGUUACUGCAUUUAAGGCUCGAUAAUCGACACAGAAUCUCCAAGUACCGUCCUUCUUCUUAACGAGCAACACUGGUGAGGAAAAUGGGCUGGUACUUGGCCGAAUGAUUCCUUCCUGCAACAUUGCUGAUACUUGUCGCUCAAUUUAUUGUUUUUGGAAAUGGGGAUAUCGGUAGGGGCGUACAUUGAUCGGGGCGGAGUUAGGUUUAAGGUGUAUAGAGUGGUCCGUCGGACGUGUUGGGGGUAGGCCGGAUGUUCGAGUGAAGACGUCUCGGAACUGGUUAAGUAAUGGGGUAAAAGCUGUAGGUGUGUUAGGUGUGGUAUAGGACGGAUCAAAUGAUAUCUGUAGGCUAUAGAAAGCUGCAACAGCUCCCACUUCAUGUGUAUGCCUCAAUGAGUUUAGCUGAAUCUGCUUAGGACCCGAGCCAUGUAGUCCUUGCCAAGUAACUUGCAACGAUCCAGUACUGAAUUGAAAGGUUGAAGAAGCAUAGUCGGUUAUGACAGGGCCAAGAGUUGCCAGCCAAGCCACUCUUAAGACUACAUCCGAGCCAUGAAGAGGUAAGACAUAAAAAUCAGCAAUAAUAUCAGUACCCUGUAUAUGUAAGUUCACAUUUUUUACUCGCCCUUCACUGUGGAUACUCUCCCCAUUGCCAACUAAUACUGGAAAAGACGCCGAUGGAUCAAUAUCAAGGCCUAAAAACUGAGCAACACGGCUUUGAAUAAAAUUGUGUGUGCUUCCCCCAUCCAAAAGUAUCUGAACCGAAUGUCCUUGUAUCGUACCCAUGAAUCGCAAGGUCGUUGGAGAAAGGCAACCAGACAUAGCAUUGUAAGAAAUCAUUGUAGUGGCUGUCGAAUCUGUGAGGGUGGAAUUAAUUAUUGGGGUUUCAAUAGGUGUGUCGGUGGAGUUUGGACGAUCGGUUGGAGGCUCAAGGGGUUGUGGUGAUUGUUUGUCGUCGUCACUAGGGUAGGUGUCAUCUAAGAGGAAUAAUUGGGGUUUAUUGUAUUUAUGCCCCCUCACAUAUUUUUCAUCACAAUAGAAGCACAAAUUUAAUUCUCUCCUACGCUGUGCCUCGGCCUGUGUUAAUCGACGGGCAGCUGGAGGAAUUGGCGAUUUAGAUUGGUCUGGAGUAUGCUUAAGUGGGAUUGAUGGGUUUGGUAGCAGCCCAGGAGUGAAAGACUUGGGGUAAGGGAUUUGUUUUAAUAAGAGUUUUCGGGUUUCGGAUAGUUUAGCCUCUUGUAGGCGGGCCAAACUAAUGGCAUGGUUGAGUGUAGUGGGUCGAAAAUAUAAAACCUCAUUUUUUAUGUCGGCUCGUAGUCCAGAUAUAAAACAAUCCAUAAAAAAGGAAGGGGGCAAAUCGGUCGUUAGAUUGGAAAGAGAUUCAAAUCGGCUUUGGUACUCCUCGACUGUGGUUGUUUGUUGAAGUUUUGACAGCAAACCUUGGGGUUCUUCGAGAGUUGUAAAUUUGAAACGGUCAAGCAUUGCACGCGUGAAAUGGUCCCAACACGAGAGCUGCUUGUUAGUUUUCAUCCAUCUAUACCAUCGCCUAGCUUUGCCUUCAAAAUGAAAAGCUGCCAUUGUUAUCCGAACAGUAUCAUCUGUAUCGUAAAAAUCAAAGAAUUUGUUGGCAUUGAAAAUCCACGAUUCGGGGUCGGAACCGUCAAAUUUCGAGAGCUCAACACGGGCUGGUUUGGGUUUAAAUGGGAAAUCGUCGCAGUUAUAAUCGUCAUCAUUGACUGGGCGCCGGCGAUUACCCGUAGCGGAAGAUUCGGUGGUGAACCCAUCGGGUUUUGCGUGGCGCUCAGGGAAGGUUUGUUUUUCAGUAAGGAUUUGAUUUAGGUUUUGUAGCUGUCGGUUAAUAUCUUCCAUGGUGUUUUGUUGGGUAGUAACGAUGGAUUGAAGAGAGCUCAAUGCGGUGGAUUGGUUGUUGAGGACUGUGGCUUGGGCGGAAAGGUCGUGUUGCAAGGAGGUUACGGUUGUGUCAAGGCGAGCCAAACGGGUGUUGUCUGCCAUAGGGAGGAGGAGUAAGCUCAACGAAAGCACCAAAAUGUGAAGGCUUAAUCAAGGAUUCAAGCAAUUACAGUUUUAAAGGAAACUUUUAGUAUUUCUGAUUCAUUGAGUACAUGGAGGAUGAAUUACAAGGUUGAGACAGAAAAGAAGGAUUAAGAAGGGAAUAGAAAACUCAGUACAGCUGAGGGAAGAAGAGAGGUAGCAGCUAUUGCUAAAAAGUGAUAUCAUGCCUCACCUGGUAAUACCUACCCUUAUUUAUACAACAAUACCCAAUGUCAUUCAUCCGAAUGGUACCUAAAUUGUUGGGGUCUGUUACUUCCUAACGGUUUGCCAGGUGGAUCUUCAUUGCUGCUUGUGCUUGGCAUAGGGGCAGGGUUAAGGUCCAUU